CAAUUANCAUAGUGGCAAACGGGUGAGUAACGCGUAAGUAACCUACCUCUAAGUGGGGGAUAGCUUCGGGAAACUGAAGGUAAUACCGCAUGUGAUGGGCUGACAUAAGUCGGUUCAUUAAAGCCGCAAGGUGCUUGGUGAGGGGCUUGCGUCCGAUUAGCUAGUUGGUGGGGUAAUGGCCUACCAAGGCUUCGAUCGGUAGCUGGUCUGAGAGGAUGAUCAGCCACACUGGGACUGAGACACGGCCCAGACUCCUACGGGAGGCAGCAGCAAGGAAUCUUGGGCAAUGGGCGAAAGCCUGACCCAGCAACGCCGCGUGAGGGAUGAAGGCUUUCGGGUUGUAAACCUCUUUUCACAGGGAAGAAUAAUGACGGUACCUGUGGAAUAAGCUUCGGCUAACUACGUGCCAGCAGCCGCGGUAAUACGUAGGAAGCAAGCGUUAUCCGGAUUUAUUGGGCGUAAAGUGAGCGUAGGUGGUCUUUCAAGUUGGAUGUGAAAUUUCCCGGCUUAACCGGGACGUGUCAUUCAAUACUGUUGGACUAGAGUACAGCAGGAGAAAACGGAAUUCCCGGUGUAGUGGUAAAAUGCGUAGAUAUCGGGAGGAACACCAGAGGCGAAGGCGGGUUUCUAGGUUGUCACUUGACACUUGAGGCUCGAAAGCGUGGGGGAGCGAACAAGAAUUAGA
RNAcentral lists this ribosomal RNA (685 nucleotides) under uncultured bacterium. RNAcentral describes it as "bacterial SSU rRNA". It matches the Rfam family "Bacterial small subunit ribosomal RNA", at positions 84 to 782 of the family's 1533-position model. The record is from RNAcentral.